Molecule: transfer RNA, 75 nt
Filed under: Pseudomonas amygdali pv. lachrymans str. M301315
Lineage: Bacteria; Pseudomonadati; Pseudomonadota; Gammaproteobacteria; Pseudomonadales; Pseudomonadaceae
Description: tRNA-Glu
Rfam family: tRNA
About the family: Transfer RNA (tRNA) molecules are approximately 80 nucleotides in length.
Source: RNAcentral
GCCCUAUUCUUCUAGUGGUCAGGAAUCCGCCCUUUCACGGCGGCAACAAGGGUUCGAUUCCCUUAUAGGGCACCA